GAUGAACGCUGGCGGCGUGCCUAAUACAUGCAAGUCGAGCGAACGGACGAGAAGCUUGCUUCUCUGAUGUUAGCGGCGGACGGGUGAGUAACACGUGGAUAGCCUACCUAUAAGACUGGGAUAACUUCGGGAAACCGGAGCUAAUACCGGAUAAUAUUUUGAACCGCAUGGUUCAAAAGUGAAAGACGGUCUUGCUGUCACUUAUAGAUGGAUCCGCGCUGCAUUAGCUAGUUGGUAAGGUAGCGGCUUACCAAGGCAACGAUGCAUAGCCGACCUGAGAGGGUGAUCGGCCACACUGGAACUGAGACACGGUCCAGACUCCUACGGGAGGCAGCAGUAGGGAAUCUUCCGCAAUGGGCGAAAGCCUGACGGAGCAACGCCGCGUGAGUGAUGAAGGUCUUCGGAUCGUAAAACUCUGUUAUUAGGGAAGAACAUAUGUGUAAGUAACUGUGCACAUCUUGACGGUACCUAAUCAGAAAGCCACGGCUAACUACGUG
RNAcentral lists this ribosomal RNA (497 nucleotides) under uncultured bacterium. RNAcentral describes it as "partial 16S ribosomal RNA". It matches the Rfam family "Bacterial small subunit ribosomal RNA", at positions 28 to 507 of the family's 1533-position model. The record is from RNAcentral.